This 460-nucleotide ribosomal RNA is filed under the name uncultured bacterium. RNAcentral's name for it is "partial 16S ribosomal RNA". It matches the Rfam family "Bacterial small subunit ribosomal RNA", at positions 338 to 795 of the family's 1533-position model. The record is from RNAcentral.
CCUACGGGAGGCAGCAGUGAGGAAUAUUGGUCAAUGGGCUUACGCCUGAACCAGCCAAGUCGCGUGAGGGAAGACUGCCCUAUGGGUUGUAAACCUCUUUUGUCAGGGAGCAAUUGGCGCUACGUGUAGCGUUAUCGAGAGUACCUGAAGAAAAAGCAUCGGCUAACUCCGUGCCAGCAGCCGCGGUAAUACGGAGGAUGCGAGCGUUAUCCGGAUUUAUGGGGUUUAAAGGGUGCGUAGGCGGAAUGCCAAGUCAGCGGUAAAAUCGCGGGGCUCAACCUCGCUCCGCCGUUGAAACUGGCGUUCGGGAGGGGGCGAGAAGAAUGGGGAAGGCGUGGUGUAGCGGUGAAAUGCAUAGAUAUCAGGAAGAACACCGAUGGAGAAGGCGGCAGGCCGGCGCCCAAGUGACGUUGAGGCACGAAAGCGUGGGGAGCGAACAGGAUUAGAUACCCGAGUAGUC